RNAcentral lists this ribosomal RNA (554 nucleotides) under uncultured Planctomycetota bacterium. RNAcentral's name for it is "bacterial SSU rRNA". It matches the Rfam family "Bacterial small subunit ribosomal RNA", at positions 259 to 831 of the family's 1533-position model. The record is from RNAcentral. Lineage: Bacteria; Pseudomonadati; Planctomycetota.
GACUGCAUGCCUAAUCCACGCCGCCAACGUUCGUUCUGAGCCACUGCCCAGACUCCUACGGGAGGCUGCAGUCGAGGAUCUUCCGCAAUGCGCGAAAGCGUGACGGAGCGACGCCGCGUGGGUGAUGAAGGCCUUCGGGUUGUAAAGCCCUGUCACCUGGGAAGAAUGACGGGAGGUGAACAAUCUCUCGUUUGACGCUACCAGGGGAGGAAGCACCGGCUAAAUACGUGCCAGCAGCCGCGGUAAUACGUAUGGUGCGAACGUUGUUCGGAAUUACUGGGCAUAAAGAGCACGUAGGCGGUUGAGCAAGUCCAUUGUGAAAUCCCCCGGCUUAACCGGGGAACCGCAGUGGAUACUACUUGAUUUGAGUGCAGGAGGGGAGAGCGGAAUUCCAGGUGGAGCGGUGAAAUGCGUAGAUAUCUGGAGGAACGCCGGUGGCGAAAGCGACUCUCUGGUCUGUUACUGACGCUGAGGUGCGAAAGCUAGGGGAGCAAACGGGAUUAGAUACCCCGGUAGUCCUAGCCCUGAACGAUGGGCACUAAGUAGAGGGGUUU